Long non-coding RNA from Oncorhynchus nerka (sockeye salmon), 1980 nucleotides. RefSeq lists it as uncharacterized. NCBI's taxonomy places the organism in Eukaryota, Metazoa, Chordata, Actinopteri, Salmoniformes, Salmonidae. The transcript has 3 exons. The record is from RefSeq and is a predicted model, not a curated record.
CCGCUGCUGCUUUGAGCGGGCUGGGUGUGGAGGAAGGGAGCUGUAGACUGGCACUAACUGGCUGCCGCAGGAACAGACGACACAUUGUGCCCCUCAGACUGCCUGUUACAGCACAGAACGGACCAUAAAUGCCAGAGAACGGACACAUCCGUUACAAAUGACUGGAACACACACAGCUUCCUUCAUAAUAAAAGAUCUGACGGAGUCUGAUGAUUUAUGGGCCGGAUGUAAACACUAGAAGUGAGCAAAUUGAGGAGGACGUUCACUUUAUGCCACACAAGGAAGUACGAGUUACCAUAGAAACUGGGUUUCGCUAACGUCAAGAGCUUUAGCGUAAUACAUUAUCUAGUGAAUUAGCAGUGGCUGGUGGCGUCGAAGGGAAAACCUACUUGACUAGUCCUGCUAGAGAAGCGCUACUCCUGGUGGAAAGAGGUUGUACGGCACACAACGAGUUGCAGAAUGCGUGCAGAAACGUCACGAUGUAAAGUACCGCGUCAGAGAGCGGCUCGAUGGUCAAGCUGUUGGCUCCUAUGUCCACUAUGGUCCCCAGCUGGAACCCAUCUGCUGGAUGGGGCGCCCACACCGGCUUCCCAUCCUCCAUUGGACCGCUUGAAGAGCACUGCAACACAACAGGAAAGAAACAGGGGACCGUUAGAGGCCUGUUCACAUUCCUAAAGCCAUGAAAGUUAUUCAAUUUUGAAGAAAAUAAAAAAACACUAGAAUGAGGAGUGGGAGGCCUCGGUGCAAAAAAACUAAGCAAAAGGACAAGAACACUAGUGUGUCUAGUUUAAGAAACAGACACCUCACAAGUCCUCAACAGGCAGCUUCGUUAAAAUAGUACCCACAAAACACCAGUCAAAGUCAGCAGUGAAGAGGUGACUCCAGGAUGCUGGCCUUCUAGGCAGAGUUCCUCUGUCCAGUGUCUGUUCUUUUGCCCAUCUUAAUCUUUUAUUGUAUUGGCAAGUUUGCAAAAUGGUCUUUUCAUUGCAACUCUGCCUAGAAGGCCAGCAUCCCAGAGUCACCUCUUCACUGUUGACGUUGACUGGUGUUUUGUGGGUACCAUUUAAUGAAGCUGCCACAUAAGGCACACUUAGCCAUGCUGGUUGAAUUCUAAAUAAAAUCAGUGCAUCACCAGCAAAGCCCCUCCACACCUCCAUGCUUCACAGUAGGAAACUGACUCCGCAUAUCACAAAACACAGCGGUUCGAACCAAAAAGGUGAAAUUUGGAAUCAGACCAAAAGGACAGAGUUCCACCGGUCUAAUGUCUAUUGCUUGUGUUUCUUGGCACAAGAAAGUCUCUUCUUCUUAAUGGUGUCCUUUGGUAGUGGUUUCUUUGCAUUAAUUCAACCAUGAAGGCCUGAUUCACACAGUCACCUCUGAACAGUUUAUGUUGAUGUGUCUGUUACUUGAACUCUGAAGCAUUUAUUUGGGCUGGUAACUAAUGAACUUAUCCUCUGCAGCAGAGGUAACUCUGGGUCUUCCUUUCCUGUGGCGGUCCUCAUGAGAGCCAGUUUCAUCAUAGCGCUUGGUUUUUGCGACUGCACGUUUUCCCAUAUGGACUGACCUUCAUGUCUUAAAGUAAUGAUGACUGUCAUUUCUCUUUGCUUAUUUGAGAUGGUCUUGCCAUAAUAUGGACUUGGUCUUUUACCAAAUAGGGUAUAUAUAUAUUUGGAAUUACCACUCCUACCUUUUCACAACACAACUGAUUGGCUUAAAAGGAUGAAAGAAAUUCCACAAAGUAACUUAAGGUACACCUGUUAAUUGAAAUGCAUUCCAGGUGACUACCUCAUGAAGCUGGUUGGGAGAAUGCCAAGAGUAUGUGCGCAAAGCAGUCAUCAAUACAAAGGGUGGCUACUUUGAUUUGUUUAACUCUUUUUUUUGAUUACUACAUGAUUCCAUAUGUGCCAUUUCAUAGUUUUGAUGUUUUCACUAUUGUACAAUGAAGACAACAGUAACAAUAAAGAAAGACCCUGGAAUGAG